Molecule: long non-coding RNA, 491 nt
Organism: Motacilla alba alba
Lineage: Eukaryota; Metazoa; Chordata; Aves; Passeriformes; Motacillidae
Exons: 3
Source: RefSeq, a predicted model, not a curated record
AGCUUUCCUCCAGCUUAAACUUUGGCAAAUGCACGCGAACGUCAGCGGAAUACAGAUGCUCUGGACGUGUCCAUUCCUGGAGCUUCUCUAAGGAACAGAACUGGCUGCAACCUAAAAAGCUGGCUGCAACAGAGUGGGAUGUCAUGAUAGUUACUGUAAACUAAGAACAUAGACCAGUGAUUCUUCUCCUGAGAACAAGAACAGCAGAAUUGAACAGGAAGAGAAAGGGUUUUUUGUGUUACACCCUUCAGGUGAGAGGCACAGAUACUCACAGCUAUGGAAAUGCACAUGACCCCACAACAUGCCAUCCUGAUGUGCACCACUGUACCUGAAGAAAGCUGUAGGACUUCUCUCCAAAGAGCCGACUGGCCAGCCGCAAGAGAUAGGGAGCAUUGCUUCUGUUUAUAUCCGUUGUCAGAUCCUGGAAUCUUGAAUGAACAUCUUCAACUUUGUCAAGAUGAAGCACCUGAAAUAAAAAGAAGUGAACUAGC